Populus euphratica (Euphrates poplar) is the source of this 708-nucleotide long non-coding RNA. RefSeq lists it as uncharacterized. Lineage: Eukaryota; Viridiplantae; Streptophyta; Magnoliopsida; Malpighiales; Salicaceae. The record is from RefSeq and is a predicted model, not a curated record. The transcript has 2 exons.
AUUAUUUAAAACAAAAAAAAUCAUUUUUUAAUAAAAAAACAAGAACACUUGAAAAAAAAAAAGGAAGAUAAAAGUGAAUGUUGAGAAGAAACAUUGGAAAAGAGCAAAGAAGAGUCAAAACUUAAAAGUUUACAGUUCGGUCACAGUUUGUCGCCCAUCUGCACGUGCGAGUUGUUGAAUCUCACUUGCCCUAAUUGAUUACUUUUUUGAAUUAUUGGGGUCAUAGCUCCCUCUGCAAGGCAUUUUCUACAUAAACUGUUCUUCCGAAUCAAUCAUUCAAAGUUUUUCAAAGAUAGAUUGUGAAAAAAACCCAGAUCAAUAUCUAAAAUCACAAAGGAAUUGGUCCAAUCUAUCUAGUUUUUCCAAAGAAAACAUUUAAACAUCAAUAUCUUUUGUUUACACCCAAGAUCUAAAGGAAAAGGCAGCGAUUUAUAAUUCAUUGAAUCCCAUUCACCAAUUAAGUAAUCAAAUCAAUUGCUCUGCCUGAUAAAAUAGAAAUAAACAACAUUAUAGUAAUUUCUUCGAAUUUAAUUUGAGAUUAAUGCAUAUAUGCGGAUUUUUCCUAUUAUAAUUUCAAUUACCCUAAAAACUAAAAAUCAGUAUAUCUUUUUUAUUCCACAACAAAGAUAUAUAGUAUUCAUUAUUAAGAAUAUUAAAUCAUAGUUGAGUAAUAAUCUCUCUUUAAAAGCAGUCAGCUAGAUCUCAAAA